AAAUUGAAGAGUUUGAUCAUGGCUCAGAUUGAACGCUGGCGGCAGGCCUAACACAUGCAAGUCGAACGGUAACAGGAAGCAGCUUGCUGCUUCGCUGACGAGUGGCGGACGGGUGAGUAAUGUCUGGGAAACUGCCUGAUGGAGGGGGAUAACUACUGGAAACGGUGGCUAAUACCGCAUAACGUCGCAAGACCAAAGAGGGGGACCUUCGGGCCUCUUGCCAUCAGAUGUGCCCAGAUGGGAUUAGCUAGUUGGUGAGGUAACGGCUCACCAAGGCGACGAUCCCUAGCUGGUCUGAGAGGAUGACCAGCCACACUGGAACUGAGACACGGUCCAGACUCCUACGGGAGGCAGCAGUGGGGAAUAUUGCACAAUGGGCGCAAGCCUGAUGCAGCCAUGCCGCGUGUAUGAAGAAGGCCUUCGGGUUGUAAAGUACUUUCAGCGGGGAGGAAGGUGUUGUGGUUAAUAACCACAGCAAUUGACGUUACCCGCAGAAGAAGCACCGGCUAACUCCGUGCCAGCAGCCGCGGUAAUACGGAGGGUGCAAGCGUUAAUCGGAAUUACUGGGCGUAAAGCGCACGCAGGCGGUCUGUCAAGUCGGAUGUGAAAUCCCCGGGCUCAACCUGGGAACUGCAUUCGAAACUGGCAGGCUUGAGUCUUGUAGAGGGGGGUAGAAUUCCAGGUGUAGCGGUGAAAUGCGUAGAGAUCUGGAGGAAUACCGGUGGCGAAGGCGGCCCCCUGGACAAAGACUGACGCUCAGGUGCGAAAGCGUGGGGAGCAAACAGGAUUAGAUACCCUGGUAGUCCACGCCGUAAACGAUGUCUACUUGGAGGUUGUGCCCUUGAGGCGUGGCUUCCGGAGCUAACGCGUUAAGUAGACCGCCUGGGGAGUACGGCCGCAAGGUUAAAACUCAAAUGAAUUGACGGGGGCCCGCACAAGCGGUGGAGCAUGUGGUUUAAUUCGAUGCAACGCGAAGAACCUUACCUGGUCUUGACAUCCACGGAAGUUUUCAGAGAUGAGAAUGUGCCUUCGGGAACCGUGAGACAGGUGCUGCAUGGCUGUCGUCAGCUCGUGUUGUGAAAUGUUGGGUUAAGUCCCGCAACGAGCGCAACCCUUAUCCUUUGUUGCCAGCGGUUAGGCCGGGAACUCAAAGGAGACUGCCAGUGAUAAACUGGAGGAAGGUGGGGAUGACGUCAAGUCAUCAUGGCCCUUACGACCAGGGCUACACACGUGCUACAAUGGCGCAUACAAAGAGAAGCGACCUCGCGAGAGCAAGCGGACCUCAUAAAGUGCGUCGUAGUCCGGAUUGGAGUCUGCAACUCGACUCCAUGAAGUCGGAAUCGCUAGUAAUCGUGGAUCAGAAUGCCACGGUGAAUACGUUCCCGGGCCUUGUACACACCGCCCGUCACACCAUGGGAGUGGGUUGCAAAAGAAGUAGGUAGCUUAACCUUCGGGAGGGCGCUUACCACUUUGUGAUUCAUGACUGGGGUGAAGUCGUAACAAGGUAACCGUAGGGGAACCUGCGGUUGGAUCACCUCCUUA
RNAcentral lists this ribosomal RNA (1542 nucleotides) under Salmonella enterica subsp. enterica serovar Heidelberg. Its description in RNAcentral is "bacterial SSU rRNA". It matches the Rfam family "Bacterial small subunit ribosomal RNA". RNAcentral also lists the same sequence under 10 other names. Lineage: Bacteria; Pseudomonadati; Pseudomonadota; Gammaproteobacteria; Enterobacterales; Enterobacteriaceae. The record is from RNAcentral.